AGGACGAACGCUGGCGGCGUGCUUAACACAUGCAAGUCGAGCGGAAAGGCCCUUCGGGGUACUCGAGCGGCGAACGGGUGAGUAACACGUGAGUAAUCUGCCCCUAGCUCUGGGAUAGCUCCGGGAAACCGGGAUUAAUACCGGAUACGACCACCUUAGACAUCUUUUGUGGUGGAAAGAAUUUCGGCUAGGGAUGAGCUCGCGGCCUAUCAGCUUGUUGGUGGGGUAACGCCUACCAAGGCGACGACGGGUAGCCGGCCUGAGAGGGCGACCGGCCACACUGGGACUGAGACACGGCCCAGACUCCUACGGGAGGCAGCAGUGGGGAAUAUUGCGCAAUGGGCGAAAGCCUGACGCAGCGACGCCGCGUGGGGGAUGAAGGCCUUCGGGUUGUAAACCGCUUCACCAGGGACGAAGCGGAAGUGACGGUACCUGGGGAAGAAGCGCCGGCUAACUACGCGCCAGCAGCCGC
Molecule: ribosomal RNA, 472 nt
Filed under: uncultured bacterium
Lineage: Bacteria
Description: SSU rRNA
Rfam family: Bacterial small subunit ribosomal RNA
Source: RNAcentral